GCUGGGGAAGAAAUGACUGUACCCAGUAAAGAAACCCCGGCUAACUCCGUGCCAGCAGCCGCGGUAAUACGGAGGGGGUUAGCGUUGUUCGGAAUUACUGGGCGUAAAGCGCGCGUAGGCGGAUCAGAAAGUUGGGGGUGAAAUCCCAGGGCUCAACCCUGGAACUGCCUCCAAAACUCCUGGUCUUGAGUUCGAGAGAGGUGAGUGGAAUUCCAAGUGUAGAGGUGAAAUUCGUAGAUAUUUGGAGGAACACCAGUGGCGAAGGCGGCUCACUGGCUCGAUACUGACGCUGAGGUGCGAAAGUGUGGGGAGCAAACAGGAUUAGAUACCCUGGUAGUCCACACCGUAAACGAUGAAUGCCAGUCGUCGGGUAGUAUACUGCUCGGUGACACACCUAACGGAUUAAGCAUUCCGCCUGGGGAGUACGGUCGCAAGAUUAAAACUCAAAUGAAUUGACGGA
This 460-nucleotide ribosomal RNA is filed under the name uncultured bacterium. RNAcentral's name for it is "bacterial SSU rRNA". It matches the Rfam family "Bacterial small subunit ribosomal RNA", at positions 438 to 917 of the family's 1533-position model. The record is from RNAcentral.